GACGAACGCUGGCGGCGUGCCUAAUACAUGCAAGUAGAACGCACAGUUUAUACCGUAGCUUGCUACACCAUAGACUGUGAGUUGCGAACGGGUGAGUAACGCGUAGGUAACCUGCCUGGUAGCGGGGGAUAACUAUUGGAAACGAUGGCUAAUACCGCAUAAUAUUAAUUAUUGCAUGAUAAUUAAUUGAAAGGUGCAAUUGCACCACUACCAUAUGGACCUGCGUUGUAUUAGCUAGUAGGUGAGGUAACGGCUCACCUAGGCGACGAUACAUAGCCGACCGGAGAGGGUGAUCGGCCACACUGGGACUGAGACACGGCCCAGACGCCUACGGGAGGCAGCAGUAGGGAAUCUUCGGCAAUGGACGAAAGUCUGACCGAGCAACGCCGCGUGAGUGAAGAAGGUUUUCGGAUCGUAAAGCUCUGUUGUAAGAGAAGAACGGGUGUGAGAGUGGAAAGUUCACACUGUGACGGUAUCUUACCAGAAAGGGACGGCUAACUACGUG
RNAcentral lists this ribosomal RNA (505 nucleotides) under uncultured bacterium. RNAcentral describes it as "partial 16S ribosomal RNA". It matches the Rfam family "Bacterial small subunit ribosomal RNA", at positions 28 to 507 of the family's 1533-position model. The record is from RNAcentral.